RNAcentral lists this microRNA precursor (86 nucleotides) under Marmota monax (woodchuck). The record is from RNAcentral. Lineage: Eukaryota; Metazoa; Chordata; Mammalia; Rodentia; Sciuridae.
GAGAGAGAGAGAGGAGAGAGAGAGGGAGAGGGAGAGGGAGAGNCUCUCCCUCUCCCUCUCCCUCUCUCUCUCCUCUCUCUCUCUCU